Long non-coding RNA from Carassius carassius (crucian carp), 283 nucleotides. RefSeq lists it as uncharacterized. Lineage: Eukaryota; Metazoa; Chordata; Actinopteri; Cypriniformes; Cyprinidae. The transcript is spliced from 3 exons. The record is from RefSeq and is a predicted model, not a curated record.
ACGCUCUCCGACACAGGUUAAGACAGCAGAGAGCAAUGAGAUUUCUUUACAAAGCUGGGGAUAAUUCACAUGGAACCCAAUCAAGCCCACAUCAUGCCUACAUUGACCUCACUGUGCAAUGUUGUCUGUGGUGGCCAAAUGUUAUCAAUAUACGAUUGUUCAGCUGCUGUGAGACUCAAAGAUAAUAUUUACUGACGUAAUCUUGGGACGAGGAACUCAUAGAGACUGAGGGCAUCUGUCAGAGAUGAGAAGGCAAGUGGACAAGUACAGUCUGUUUUGUGGU